CCGUGGUUCCCGAGGGGCCACGGUUGCCAUCGGCCAGCGUGAGGGUGGGGACCUGGGUCUGGAGGCCUCAUCCUUGGGGUCCCAGCGGCUGCACCUGCGUCACCCGGGAGCCUGGGAAAGCACAGGUUCAGACCCGGCUGGGCCUCCCGGGUCACUGGAGCCACUGACCCGCAUCCGUGUUGGGGCUCCAGCCUCUCUGCUAUGUCGCCGCCCUCGCUUCCCCAAGUCCCCCAGUGUCUCCUGUCCUCACUCAGCGGGAAUGGCCAUUCCCUGGGGUGGGUGACACCCCAAGCCCCGUGGUCCAGGGGCAGCUCCGUCUCGCAGCGCUCCCCGGGAACGCCAGCGCUGGGAUGACCUUGCCUUUGACCUGCUUCUGGGUCCCUCAGACUCUCCGUCCUGGGAAGACAGUCUAUGAACCAGUGAGACCCUGGCUGUGACGGUGACUGAAACAUGACCCACGAGGUUGGAAGGUUUGAAAAGUGGUGCCGGCUGCUAAAGAAAGUGCGAUGUUUCUUCAGUUCUGCUGCUGGAUCCACGUGCGCGUACGACACCGUGCACACCGUGCUGGACAGACGGCGCGGAGGAGUGACCCAGGCCACACAGGUGCUGGGACCAGGUGUGCUCUCCAAGCUCCUCAAGCUACUCCCCUACAGCUGGAAUUCUCGCUUUAAAUAGGUAGGACCUUCCCGGGAGGUGGCGGAAAGUGAAAACACGAGGAGGAGCGCGGCUCGCAGCCCGAACACGGGCCCUCGGCCACAGGCUGUCGUCACCGUUAAUUAAGCCGGGACGGAGCCCUCGCCUCGCUCUUCCUUCCCGCAAGCCUGAGCGAGACAGAGGCAAGAGCUUGGCAUCUAAUCCAGAGACUGCAAGUUCAGGGGUGCAAGCACUCUGCCCGCCGCUGACUGUGCGGACACACAUGACGGAACGAACCCCCUACAACCACGUUAGCACGGGAGCAUCGCACGAGGAGCACUGAACCAAGGUGUCCUCGCAGGAGCAUAUGGAAGCGGGGGACGCUGGAGAGCAUCUUGACUUGACCGUGAAGAAUCGCAGACACGGACGGCAUUGCUGUUUCUGGGAUUUGCUGUGGAACGGGAUGCUUAUAAAUUAGGUAUGUUGAAAACCAUCUGCUUUUUGUCAAGCGAACACGGUGCCACUGGUGGAGAGGAACUGGGUGUUACUUCAUGCCAACUCUGCAAGUCGUAAAUUGUUCAUAAGAGUGUUUUAAAAGCAUAAGUGGGAGGGUUGGUUCACUUGAACGUCGCCCCCAUCAUUGCCCUGCGGCUUCAAGAGCCCUUCAAGCAUCUAUUCUGACUCCUGCUGCCUCGGUGCAGCGACGCACCUCUCGGGGAAGCACGGUGGUGCUGUGGGCGCCACGCUGCCCAACAGAGGAACGUGACCUGCUCUGAAGCGUGGCCAUGCACGAUACUCAGCCUCCGAAUAUCAAGCCUCCUCAUCUGAGCAAGUGCGUCUUAGACAUGGGAGACGUCUCGCUGCUCGGGGUUCCCGCGGGUGCUGCAGCUACAUGAGGUGACGGUCGCCAGUCCCAGUCCUGCCCAUACGUCAGAAUGGCCCACAGAGGUCAUCACGGAUGCAAGUCCCGGGCUCGCAUAGCCAGAGCUCACAGUCAGCACCCGUCCCCCUUGGCGGCCGUGGACCGUUCUUCCUCUGACCCAGCCGUUAAUGAGCAUCCGAGGCUCGCGACCCACCGCCACUUGCUGACCAUUAUCUUCGAGACUCAACUCUCCCCCUGAGAAUCACCGCAUCGUACUCUGCAUCUUUCCAGAUUGUCGGGAGUAAUCCAUGAUCAAUACUAACAGGAUCAAUAAUGGAAUUCCUGCAACCGGCAUUCAAAACAAAACAUAUGGUUAAAUCACCCGGUGUGAGGGUCCUUUUGGACAUUUGCUCUGCACCAUCGUUGGCUGUUCUGCGUAUCACGUUCUGCUAGACGACUUUCCAGGAAAGACGCAUGCGACUAGGCCCGGCCGUCCUCACCAGACCCACGCCUGGCCCAUGGCGGCGAAUCUGCUGAGACGGGGGGAAGUAAGCGAGAUAAACUCGCAAACACCAAUGCCGGGAACUGUGUCCAUCACACCGGUGUUUCGGAAUCAGAGCUCAAGGCAGGAUCGUCCGGGGCCGUGUGUGGUCUCUGGCAGCUUGUGUGACCUGGUGCUGGCGGCGGUCACCUCCUCCAUGCUCCCGGCCUCCACAGGACUCUGAGAUGUCACAGGGUUCCUCAACCGGGAAUUUGCGACUUGGAAUACGACGUCCGUUAUCUCAGCAGACAAUCCAGUUGGAAUCAUAACAUCUCCACACCCCAGGCAUCCCUAGAAAAUACAAAAACAUUUGCUUCAUUUAACAAUCUUUACUGUUCUAUUUCCGAGCUCAAUACCGACACUCUGCCAGAGUCAGUAAAGCAGAAUUAACAUAAGUGGGCAAAAUUGGAAAUGUGAGCCACGUAGCAGAGGGAGAAACCGGGCCGCUGGGAAUGUGCACCUCACAGGGCCGCUUCUCCUGCCCCCAGCACCCAGCGGCUGAUAUUGCCUUCCUGGCUCGGGUCCUGGCUCGGGGGGUUGGUCCCUGCGCUGACAACGCGGGGACAGGCAUCAGGGACAGGACAGCCGCCUGCUGGGACUGGUCUUUUCCUUUAUGUCAGGCUGAAAGCCAAAAAAAUGAUGUUCUUUAUCACAGCAAGAUCGGAAAAAGAGUGGCUCCCAGGAGUACAACGCCUGCCGCCCCUGCCAGAGUGGGAAGAGCGGGAUAACAAAGCGCCUCGUCUGCGAGGAGCAGUCGAGAAGUCAAGAAAUGCUUUCACGUAUGUGAUUUCACAUCCUCACAGUUAUGAGAUUUUUAGAGGCUGCUUCGAUGGCGUUUGGGAGGCUGAAUGUCUUGCUUCGGAUCAAGGUGUUCUAUACGACUCUUUCCCUGAGAGGUCACUUUUCCUUGUGAGCCUGUUUCCUUACCUGCAAGAGUAGAAUUUUGGUUGAACAAUGUUGGAAUUCUGUUUCUUCUGUGAUAUUUUAUCAAAGUCCUCUGGUCCAGGUCAUACACACGAAAACUGGGUCAAGGAAGCAAAAAGUCUGCGUGGGUCUCACCUGUAAAAAGGCGCUCCCACUUUCCUGCUCCCACACCAAACCGCGUCGCCUAAACCGUGAUCGAUAAUCGCCCCGGAUGCCGUGCCAGGGGCGCUGCUUGACGUCCACGUAAAACCAGGAUAGAAGAGGCGCCGCGCGAACACACCGAGGUCCAGGGACCCCUGAGGAAAUGCGCACAACCAGCGACCCCUCCUCACUCAGCACCUGAUCGGGGUCAGUUAACCCUACAUUGAAGAAUCCCGGAGUUAGGUUGACCCUGACUCUACCUGGGACACGACUAUUUUCAUGUGGAAUAAGCAAAUUCAAACGGAUCGGUCUUCAGAGUAGCUCAUGUGAACACAGACUCAGAAACAGGUGGUCACAGGUGCCCACAGCGGCCGUGACAGGUGCCGUGACCUGGCGGCGAGGAAGCAGAGGCCGCUGCGUGUUCCCCCGGAUGGGACUCGUGACGGACGCAGGUGUCACUGGACCCCCGGCAGCCGGAGCUUCUUGAGAAACCACUGAUGUGAAGGAAGCUGGCCGUCCCCGGUUACCCUUCCUGAGGGGCGGCCUGCCCACUGGCAACAGCAGUGACGGCAGAGGGGACACGGGCCUGCCCCCAGCCUUGGUGGGGACCGCCCCGAAGCUCAAGACACCAGAGACCGCGCCCUGUAAACCUGCAGCU
Long non-coding RNA from Canis lupus familiaris (dog), 3759 nucleotides. RefSeq lists it as uncharacterized. The transcript has 9 exons. The record is from RefSeq and is a predicted model, not a curated record. NCBI's taxonomy places the organism in Eukaryota, Metazoa, Chordata, Mammalia, Carnivora, Canidae.